CCUACGGGAGGCAGCAGUGGGGAAUAUUGGGCAAUGGAGGAAACUCUGACCCAGCAACGCCGCGUGAAUGAUGAAGGUCUUCUGAUUGUAAAGUUCUUUUCUCAGGUAAGAAGAACGUGACGGUACCUUAGGAAUAAGCCUCGGCUAACUACGUGCCAGCAGCCGCGGUAAUACGUAGGAGGCGAGCGUUAUCCGGAAUGACUGGGCGGAAAGGGGGCGUAGGUGGUUUGGCAAGUUAGUAGCGUAACUCCAAGGCUCAACCUUGGAACUACUACUAAAACUGUUGGACUUGAGUGCAGGAGGGGCAACCGGAAUUCCUAGUGUAGCGGUGGAAUGCGUAGAUAUUAGGAGGAACACCAGUGGCGAAGGCGGGUUGCUAGACUGUAACUGACACUGAGGCACGAAAGCGUGGGGAGCAAACAGGAUUAGAUACCCGGGUAGUC
This 443-nucleotide ribosomal RNA is filed under the name uncultured bacterium. Its description in RNAcentral is "partial 16S ribosomal RNA". It matches the Rfam family "Bacterial small subunit ribosomal RNA", at positions 338 to 795 of the family's 1533-position model. The record is from RNAcentral.